This 395-nucleotide ribosomal RNA is filed under the name uncultured bacterium. RNAcentral describes it as "partial 16S ribosomal RNA". It matches the Rfam family "Bacterial small subunit ribosomal RNA", at positions 523 to 918 of the family's 1533-position model. The record is from RNAcentral.
AUACGUAGGGUGCAAGCGUUAAUCGGAAUUACUGGGCGUAAAGCGUGCGCAGGCGGUUUUGUAAGACAGAGGUGAAAUCCCCGGGCUCAACCUGGGAACUGCCUUUGUGACUGCAAGGCUAGAGUACGGCAGAGGGGGAUGGAAUUCCGCGUGUAGCAGUGAAAUGCGUAGAUAUGCGGAGGAACACCGAUGGCGAAGGCAAUCCCCUGGGCCUGUACUGACGCUCAUGCACGAAAGCGUGGGGAGCAAACAGGAUUAGAUACCCUGGUAGUCCACGCCCUAAACGAUGUCAACUGGUUGUUGGGUCUUCAUUGACUCAGUAACGAAGCUAACGUGUGAAGUUGACCGCCUGGGGAGUACGGCCGCAAGGUUGAAACUCAAAUGAAUUGACGGGG